UACGUAGGGUGCAAGCGUUGUCCGGAAUUAUUGGGCGUAAAGAGCUCGUAGGCGGCUUGUCACGUCGACUGUGAAAACCCGGGGCUCAACUCCGGGCCUGCAGUCGAUACGGGCUGGCCUGAGUGCGGUAGGGGAGACUGGAAUUCCUGGUGUAGCGGUGAAAUGCGCAGAUAUCAGGAGGAACACCGAUGGCGAAGGCAGGUCUCUGGGCCGAUACUGACGCUGAGGAGCGAAAGCGUGGGGAGCGAACAGG
This 253-nucleotide ribosomal RNA is filed under the name uncultured bacterium. RNAcentral describes it as "partial 16S ribosomal RNA". It matches the Rfam family "Bacterial small subunit ribosomal RNA", at positions 524 to 776 of the family's 1533-position model. The record is from RNAcentral.